UUGAACUAAUAAAGUAUUUCAGAAUGAGUAGUGGUUAUCUCCGUGUUGAACUAAUAAAGUAUUUCAUGAAUUAUGUUUUAAUGUUGAACUUGCCAUUAUUAAACACUAUGUUGUUUAUAUCUUUCCAAAGCGCCCAAAACACAUAAUUUUCCAUCUUGAAUUUGAAAUACUUUUCAUCUUCAGCCAACCAGCUUGCAAUAUAAUCUUGAACAAUAGUAUUUGGAUUUGCAAUGGUUCCAGGACUCAUUGGGGAAGAAAAAAGCACAUCUUGAGAUGACUCACGGUGGAGAAAUAAGUGCUCAGCAGUCUCAGUGGCUUUGUUGCACAAUCUACAAUCAAUAUUCAUACCAGAAAUGUGUUUACUAAUGUUACGAGUUGCAUCCAAUCCAUUCUUCAAUAAUCUCCAUAUAAAAAAUUGGAUUUUAGGGUUUUAAGGAAAGAUCUUGUCGAGAGAGUACCUGUAGGAUGAUGUUUCCAUAUCAAUUUGUUUGUUGAGUUUACUCUAUUAUCCGCAGGUAAGUGGAUCUCUAAAAUCUUUAAUACUUCAGAAUGGUUAAAUAAUUAUUGCAACUUGUCUUCGUAUUACCUUUAUUCUUCAUGGAUAAUUAGGUCUCUCACUGUAGAGAUACUUGGAAAAGUAGUACUGCUUCUUUCAGGGGGAUUAUUUGGCAGGUUUGAGAUCCAUGGAUCAUCCCGAAUUCUGAUAUACUCUCAAUUCACCACGGCCUAACAACGACCUUCUCUGAUUUUUUCUCUCUGCACUUUAGCAUGGCACUUCAAGUAAAAGAGCACACAAAAGGUUUCCUUGCUUCCAAAAAAUUUGGCCUUCAUAGUUUGACCCCAAGGAAAGUCAGGAUUAUUUAAGAACUUCCACAUCAGUUUAACUAUCAUAUCCUUAUUUAGAUCCAAUUCACAAUCCACUCUAUUAUUUUUCUUCCAGUGCUUCUUCUUUUCAUGAGUAUAUCUCCACCAAAAAAUUCUCAUAAUUUUGUUAAGGAUCUAAAUAAUCUUCUUAGGAAUGAUAGAGGUUUCCUUAUAAUAAGGAGGAAUGAGAUCCAACCCAGUCUUUAUCAAUAUAGUUCUUCCGUCUUGAGUUAAGAUACCUCUCUUCUAACCAGUCAUCUUAUUAUUAACUUUAUAUGUCAGAAACUCAUACCAAGAGUUUUUAUGAGCAUGUUUAAGUAAAUGAUGGCCCAUUUUUAUUUUUAUUUGGUAAAUCAUAAAAUUUAAUUAAGAAACAAUUAUUUGUACAAAAGCAAACUUCCCAAAGAAAUCCAUUUUACUAAAAGCGUAUGUAGUUAUUACAAAAUCCUUUACAAAAUUGAUUGAAAUUAGCAAAAUAUAUAAUAUUUUUCAUCAUGUGACUCUAACCUAGAGGUUUUACAAAAUAUUCAUUUUUUUUUCAUCCCUCACCAUACCUGAUCAUUUCUUGGCCAGUUUAUCUGAUGAGAGAUUACCUUCUCUAUAUCUAUGAAUCACAACAACAAUUCCUAAAAUACCACGUGCUAUGUUAUAUAUAGAAAUCACCAACCAGGGAAUUUUACCAUGUUUGCACACUGGCCUGACCAUGCAUCGUAGAUGUUAAAGAUUUCCAUGAGAGCUUGAACAAUUCUCUUCUCCAAGGUACCAAAUAAAAGAAGAUCAUCUGCAAACAUUAAAUGGGAGACAACAAUGGAUUUUUUGCAAAUUUUAUAUCCAUUAUAUGGCGCACUAUUCUCCAUGGUUCUCAUCAACCAAGAGAGUUCUUGCGAACACAAUAUAAAUAAAUAUGGGGAUAAUGGGCACCCUUGUCGCAGACUCCUUUCACUAAUACAAAAACCUUCGGCUUGAACCAUUAAUAAUAAUAUAAAAGGUUGCGGUGGAUAUCCAUUUAUGUUGAUAGUGGUUUUUAACUUAGGGCGAAAACUGCAAAAUUUUGUCUACCUGUAUUGAUGGUGGUUUUUAGUUUAGGUCUAGAACUGUAAACUCUAUUUUUGUGCCUUUAUUCUGCAAAGAAUUUGGGCAACAUGUUAAACCCUCAGAAAAUAUACGUAAUCAUGUACAAAUUAUAUUUAUUACUCAAUACCUACGUGUAUGAAAAUUAUUAGAAUAAUAUUGGUGCAUGUUGCAAUA
Papaver somniferum (opium poppy) is the source of this 2112-nucleotide long non-coding RNA. RefSeq lists it as uncharacterized. The record is from RefSeq and is a predicted model, not a curated record. NCBI's taxonomy places the organism in Eukaryota, Viridiplantae, Streptophyta, Magnoliopsida, Ranunculales, Papaveraceae. The transcript is spliced from 2 exons.